Molecule: long non-coding RNA, 2059 nt
Filed under: Equus caballus (horse)
Lineage: Eukaryota; Metazoa; Chordata; Mammalia; Perissodactyla; Equidae
Description: lncRNA (ENSECAG00000056454.1)
Source: RNAcentral
GCAUUAGAUGAGCAAUUUGUCUCUCAAGGCAUGUACAUGAAAUCAUGUGACUAAAGCAAUGGCUUCCUUUUCAAUAGGAUUCAAAGAGUUUGUUUGUGGCUCUAGGACACUGUGAUCACCUUCCAUCUGUAGUACUUGUCGCUAUUAAAUCUGACCCAAACUGAAUCUAUACAGCUCAAACGAAGCAGUUCAAAUAUGCAAUACUCCAUCAAUCGACUCUUCUGUCUACGUGACACCGAUGUGACUGACUAGGAUGAAAAUUAUCUGUUACUUGUUUGUGUGUCAUAUAGACACCAUUAACAAGAUACAACUAUGACAUUCCUUUAAGCAUUUUUAUGUUUUAAACUCCUGAGAACCAUAUUUUAGAGCAUUUCUGAACUGUUUCCAUUGUCAUUUCUCAUUUGACUCGUAUGUUGUGUUUUCCUUCAUGUACAAACAUUUGAGAAAGUCCUCAUUAUCUUGUUUUGUUAUGUAACUGCAUUCUGCUAUGUUCACAUACUGUACCAAAUACGACUUCUGUCCUGUGAAAUUUGUUCAGACUUUGUGACACAAUAUUUGGUCACUUUUGUAAAUGUUCUGUCUGAUCUUGAAAAAAAGGUACACCGUGCAGUUGUUGAUUGCAGUGUUCUAUAUUUGGCAACUAGGUCCAAUUUGUAAAUUGUCUUGUUCAAAUUUUCUUUUAAAAGAAAUUUUCUUUUAAAAGAAUAUUAAAUAUUCUUUUAAAGAAUAGCACUGUUUUGGUCCCCCUAGUACUAUGAAUGACCAAAGACUCUAAGCCACCAUUUUCUGCUUGGUUUCUAGGCCUCUCAGCACCACCACUCCCCACCUCCACUGGCACAGAUGAACGCAGAGGAGAAAGCCAAGCUUACUGCAACACAAUCUCUUUCUUUCUAAGAUCUUGACCCUUCAAGGUUGGCUGCUUUGGCUACACUCGGAUGCUCUCAAACAAAGAUUUAAAGAAAAAAGUCUAGGGGCUGGCCUGUGGCCGAGUGGUUAAAGUUCUGCACACUCCACUCCAGUGGCCUGGGUUUGUGGGUUUUGAUCUCAGCAUGGACCUGCUUCACUCUUAAGCCAUGAUGUGCAAGCGUCCCACAUAAGAAAAAUGGAGGAAUAUUGGUGCAAAUGUUAGCUCAGGGGUAAUCUUCCUCAAGUGAAAAAAGAAGAAGAUUGACAGUGGAUGUUAGCUCAGGGUGGAUCUUCCUUACCAAAAAAAGAAAAAAAAAUUUUUUUUUAAUCUGGAUUUCAUAUUUAUUCUUAGUAGAUGGAUACUGACCUGUAUCAAACUACUUCAUAGUAAUGAGAAAUGGAAAUCUGCCAAAUUCCUAGACAGAAUACAGGCUCAUAAGAAUUAUUUUUAGCCAUAGCAUAGAGGAGAGGCUAAAGAAGCAACAACGAAAAAGUAGAAAAGGGGGAAUAAAAUAGAAAAAUAGAAAAAAUAUUUCUUCAAAAUAUAUUUGUGGUAGAAAAACUUAAUCCAUGUUAACUUUUGUCAGUCCUUGGAUGAUGAUUAUGCAUCAAUUUUAAAAAAAAUUUAUGUCCAAGGCACCAUAUGAAAAAGAUAGAUAGGGAGAAUUGUGCAAAGCAGGAAGGAAUUUCCAGUCUCUAAUUCCCAAAGUUCAAGAAAAUAAUUCCCCACGUAUAUAUGAAAUGUUUGUGUCAGUUCCUAGACCUGCUAAGCCAUUUUGAAUGAAGUGAAAUAAGAUUUAUUGCUACUACAUCUCUGAAGCUAUAAAAAAAAGAAAAGACAAUUGUUAAUUUUAGUUCGAUGUAAUUCUGAGUCAGAAAAAGUUACCACUUUUGUUUUAUACAAAUAAAUUUAACAAAUCACUUAUUUAUAUUGCCUAAGAAAUACAGUAAACAUUAACUCAUUUAACAAAAGAAGAAACAGUUACACUUGAAACUAAUAUAAUGUUAUAUGUCAAUUAUACUUCAAUAAAAAAAGAAGAUAGUUAAAUGCUAUCACAAAUUCAAAUAGAGGUGACAAAAAUUUGAAUCACCUGAAACUAUAUUUAUUUGGGUAAUGCUAGAGAAAACAUUUAUUCUUUCUCCUCUAACACAC